RNAcentral lists this ribosomal RNA (429 nucleotides) under Chloroflexota bacterium. Its description in RNAcentral is "Chloroflexi bacterium partial 16S ribosomal RNA". It matches the Rfam family "Bacterial small subunit ribosomal RNA", at positions 355 to 776 of the family's 1533-position model. Lineage: Bacteria; Bacillati; Chloroflexota. The record is from RNAcentral.
UGGGGAAUAUUGCACAAUGGGCGCAAGCCUGAUGCAGCCAUGCCGCGUGUGUGAAGAAGGCCUUCGGGUUGUAAAGCACUUUCAGCGGGGAGGAAGGCGUUAAGGUUAAUAACCUUGGCGAUUGACGUUACCCGCAGAAGAAGCACCGGCUAACUCCGUGCCAGCAGCCGCGGUAAUACGGAGGGUGCAAGCGUUAAUCGGAAUUACUGGGCGUAAAGCGCACGCAGGCGGUCUGUCAAGUCGGAUGUGAAAUCCCCGGGCUCAACCUGGGAACUGCAUUCGAAACUGGCAGGCUAGAGUCUUGUAGAGGGGGGUAGAAUUCCAGGUGUAGAGGUGAAAUGCGUAGAGAUCUGGAGGAAUACCAGUGGCGAAGGCGGCCCCCUGGACAAAGACUGACGCUCAGGUGCGAAAGCGUGGGGAGCAAACAGG